GUUACUGCAAUGUUUCAACACAUUGCAGAAAUGUUAUGCUAGAACAUGUUUUCAUGAAAUGUUAUCGACAUGUAUUAAAGUGAGUACGGAUUACGACCCAAACAGCCUAUAGUUGAACACAAGUUCCCCAGCCAGCACACUCCCUUUUCAUAAUGCUGUGGAUUGGUAUUGCAUUAAUAGAAUAUUUUCUCAACAGUUACAGUUUAAUCUGUAGACUAAAUGUCUAAAGAAAAUAUAGCAGAUAUGAGUAAGACAAAAGUUCACAUGAUUUGUUUGUUGCUGAUCACAGAGGCACAUAAACUGAUAUCACACAAACGUUUCGAAAACAAUUUUAAAAUGUUGUGACAAAAUGCCAUGUUGUCUCGUGAAAAGACGUCAGAAUGACGUCAAACUAUUACGUCAUAUUUUGCACCCGCCAUCAUCAGUUCAAGUUUACCCUACAUCCAAGUGACAUUGUGCAGCAAGAGCUGGAUCGUCGAACUCUGAUUUCUUAGGGGCCGCUUGUAAGCGAAACAAUUGCUGGCUGAGGUCGCUUCGUUCUCAAAUCAAAAUGGUGGCUGACUUUGCAAGCGGAACAAGAAAUGCGUGACUGGAUCAACGAGGAAAUGAGCAAAGAAAAAUGGAUCAAGGCAAAACCAAAGAAAGAAGAUUCUGACUAUCAUGAUGUAGAAAGGUGUAAACGUUUUCUAAAAUAAUUAAAAUCUCCACAGAACUGAGUCUUAAAGUUCUUUGUUGACUGAAUGUUGAAGACAUUACCAUGUCGGUCAUUGGUAUUGUGUUUUCUGCAGUACAUGCCUGAAGGGUGUACAGUCCCUGAUUUUUUGUCUUAAUUAUUUUUACCUUGUUAACAGUGAGUGGGCGGUGUACGUUUUGAACAUUGGCAGCCAAAGACUGAGCUUUUCCAGCACCCUGGUUCGUUUUCAAAACAUUUUGGAAACGUUAUAACCGAAUGUUCACAGAAAAAGUUCCUUUAACGUUUCUGGAACCAUACAAAAUCACAUGAAUAAAACGUUUUCAAAUUAAAGUAUUUCUUCAAUAUUUUACAAAAACGUUUUGGAAACGUUAUAACCAAAUGUUUCCGGAAAAUGGUUCUUAAACGUUUCUGGAACCAUUCAUAAUCACGUGAAAAAAACAUUUUUCCAACAUUUCCGGAACGUUUCAUAAAAUGUUUUAGGGAUGUUUUUAUAACAUUUUCGUGUAAAAUGGGUUACUAUUUGCCAAUGACCUGCUACUGCUGUCACAGACACCAAAAUGUCUCCAGACCAGCAUUAAUACCUUAUGCAGAUUUACAGAGGACUGGAAAUUAAAAGUUAAUAUAUCAAAAACCAAACUUAUUGUAGUUUGAAUGUUCAUUUUAAUGUAGGGACAGCGCCGCUUGAAAUCAGUGAAUCAUACACCUACCUUCGGCUAAUAUGUCAUCAAAAUGGUUCUUUCAAGAAAGCAAUCUCAACCUUGAAAGGAAAGGCUAUGCGGGCUUGGUUCAAAAUUUAACACAGUCUGACAACAAAUACCCAUUUAUCCAUAGAAAUCUUUCUACGACUCUAUCAUGCCCUUGUGGUUCCAAUAGCAUCCUACGGUUCUGAAAUAUGGGGCUGUCAGCUGUUUAAAUCUACUUCUGAUCCAUUGAUUGUCUUCUCCACAGUGUGAUACUUGAAGGUCCCCAUCGAAACAUCACCACUUAAAAAAGCCUGAUAUCAAAGUUUAAAGAUCUGUAUCUCAUUGAAACUGACCAGGUGCAAACCGGUGUAAACCAUAAGCUGCGACAUCUGGGGCGGAUAAAUGACAAAUAUGGAUUAAAAGAUAAUCUAUCUCACAACUGUGAAAGAAUACAAGCCACAGAAGGGCCCUUACCAAUCUCCGACUGAGUCUUCACAGCUUUGAAAUUGAAAGUUAAAGAUACUCCAGCACUCCAGUUGAAAAUAGGUUCUGUCCGAAUGGUCAGGUCUUGUUGCCAGGACUGUAUUUCGCAUGUUUAAGCUGAAAACAACAUAAGGGCCCUAAUUAGAUAAGAUAAAUUCAUGCAUUUAUGUUGUAUAUAUAUAUACCAUGUUCUCAUCUCUACCAUAUACAUGCUUUUUUGUACCAGGUCCCAAGUGGGCGUAUUUGUACCAUAAAAAGGAAAGAAAAAUUUCUAUUCUAUUCUAUCAAUACAGUAUCAACACUAUGUGUACGCUGCCAGCCACGUCAUACAUACAUAAAUGUUUAUAUA
Molecule: long non-coding RNA, 2209 nt
Filed under: Haliotis rufescens (red abalone)
Lineage: Eukaryota; Metazoa; Mollusca; Gastropoda; Lepetellida; Haliotidae
Description: uncharacterized LOC124148681
Source: RNAcentral